This 1067-nucleotide long non-coding RNA is filed under the name Brassica rapa (field mustard). RNAcentral's name for it is "long non-coding RNA (BRAP_LNC008764)". The record is from RNAcentral. Lineage: Eukaryota; Viridiplantae; Streptophyta; Magnoliopsida; Brassicales; Brassicaceae.
UUGUAAGUAUUUUGCAUUCUUCUGGUUAUCUCAGCUAUCAUAGCCUCAAAUUGAACUUGGUUGAGGUUGAUUUGCUGGACAGCCGGUUCUCCUGAACUCUCAGGUUGCUUUCCAUCUCGCCUCUCUUCACUCAUUGUUCCUGAAAUAGUUAGAGAAAACACAAAGCCAGGAACAAAAUUAUCUCUCUCUCACUCAAGUUUUCAAAUCGCCAAGUCUCAGCUCUUCCCACAAGUUCAGUUGAAAAACAAAGUUCUACACUUAAGAUCUAGAACUAAAACCCCAAUGAAUCAGAUAGAAAGUAUUAAGAGAUUUAGGCACCAGCUGACUUUACCACCCUGAGCUGGAUUUCUCUUCAGCUAGCUGGAUUACUCUUCAGCUAUAUAUAUUUUUUUUGAUUUGGAUCAGAGAUCUCUUUUCUUUUUUUUUUUUGAUUUGCAGGGUUGGCUCAGCUGGCUUACAACAGAUAGAAAGAUAAGAGAAGUGUUUGAUGGAAUGAAUGAUCUGAGUAGUCAAAUUGCAAACCCUAACCUUCAAGUGGCUCUGAUACCACUUGGUGCAGCCUGGGUAUGGCUUAAACUCUGGAUCACUUGAAGGUGGAUGGAUAGAGGGUGUUCUAAGAGGCUACUAGCUCUCCUUUGAACUAUGAACGUCUCCCUGAGCCUGUGGGUUGGCGCCAAGGAUGGUUUGCUACUCAAAGACACAACAUCACCUUGUAUUGUCUAAGAUGGGAUUCACAGGAAUUCCUUCCUUUAAGUGAGAUCAAUGUUCUAGAGCUGAACAGAGAAAGCUAGAGACAAGACAACAAAGUUGACUGAAUAAUUCUUAGAUUGAAAGUUGAGAAAACAAAGCUGCAGCCCCCAUGUUCUUAAAGUAAAAAUCGAAAACCCUAAUGCUAAACCAAGGUGGUUUAAUUCUAAUUCUAAUCCUAAUUGUCUUUGGUUUAAAUUAAAUGAAAGCCCAAUAACCAAACCCUUACAAAGUAAUUAAAUUAAACCAACAAGCUGGUUUAUCUUGAUCUCCUUGCCUUGAACCAAGGCCCACGGUUUUGGCUAUCUCCUGGAGCCUCU